UACGAAGGGGGCUAGCGUUGCUCGGAAUCACUGGGCGUAAAGCGCACGUAGGCGGCUUUCUAAGUCAGGGGUGAAAUCCUGGAGCUCAACUCCAGAACUGCCUUUGAUACUGGAGAGCUUGAGUCCGGGAGAGGUGAGUGGAACUCCGAGCGUAGAGGUGAAAUUCGUAGAUAUUCGCAAGAACACCAGUGGCGAAGGCGGCUUACUGGUCCGGUUCUGACGCUGAGGCGCGAAAGCGUGGGGAGCAAACAGG
Molecule: ribosomal RNA, 253 nt
Filed under: uncultured bacterium
Lineage: Bacteria
Description: partial 16S ribosomal RNA
Rfam family: Bacterial small subunit ribosomal RNA
Source: RNAcentral